Molecule: long non-coding RNA, 1455 nt
Organism: Equus quagga
Lineage: Eukaryota; Metazoa; Chordata; Mammalia; Perissodactyla; Equidae
Exons: 5
Source: RefSeq, a predicted model, not a curated record
CCAGGAGGGCCCCGGGAGACGGGCAGCUAUAGGGGGUUCUUGAGGGGGCCUGACCGCGGUGUUUGUGAGCGUCAGGGCGGAGGAGGCGUGGGCCUUGAAAGAUGGGGGCGAUCUGCCCGGUGGAGAUGUGGGUGCCCCAGGCAGAGGGCAUGAGGUGAUGGAAGCAGGGGGAACGAACUUGCUGGGGUUGAGGACUGGAGGAGUAGGAGGGGAGCCAAAAAGGUCCCGGGCCAGAUCGGUGCCCUGCAGUCCGCUGGGUGUGCGGCGGCUGCGAGGUCGGGCUCCUGCGCUCAGCAGCCGUGUGGCAUGGCCAAGGUAGCCUUUCUGAGCCUCCGUGUCCUCAGCUGUAGGUGGGACAAUAGCUCACUGGUGUGAGGAUUUAUAGUGUAGGUGAAACUGGGGUGCCAUUCCUAGCAUGGUGCUGCUUAACAAACUUAGUCCUUUUCCCUCCUGGAAGGAGAAGGGAGUUGUGAGGCAUCGUUGGACAGUUUACAAAGACAGCCAAGAGCCAAAUAGAGUCCAGCAGAAUACGUCUCCCAGAGUCAAAUAGAACAGUCGCUGGCCUGGCCGCCACCUGCGUCUGGGAUGCACAUCCUGCCACAGAUUGGGGCUGCACCAAGACUUAGAUCUCAGCUUGUCUGUUCUUUGUUAAGGACCCUUACAGAUCACACAGGACACUUACUGAUACUGAUUGCAUCCGAAUGGGUGAACACUCACAGAGACACACAGUUGAUGACUUUCUCUCUCUCAUAGGAAUACAUUAGAAACCUGCAGAGGAGAAGGACAGCCGGAGGAGCGGGUGCCAGCGGCAGACAGUCAACACGGGAGGACUGCUGCGCUGUCUUGAGAGAGUGAACACUCCUUAUUUCACCUCGAUUCAAGUGUAGAAAUUUUGGAGUCAAGAGUGCCUGGCUUCAAACCCUGGCCGUGCCGUUUACCAGCUGGGGGACCAUGGGCAAGUUAAUUAACUUCUCCGUGCCUUUGUUUUUUGCUCUGUAAAGUGGGGAGUCUUACAGUGCCUAAUUCAAGGGUACUUAACAAUUAAAUAAGAUACGGUUCAGAAAGCACCUGACAAGAUACAUGGACAAACAAAAUGUGGUAAUAUACACACAAGGGAAUAUUAUUCAGCCCUAAAAAGGAAGGAAAUCCUGUCGCAUGUUACGAUGUGGAUUUACCUUGAAGACAUUAUGUUAAGUGAAAUAGCCAGUCACAGUAAGACAAAUGCUGUGUGAUUCCACUGAAGCCUGGCAGCUUCCUCCCUCGUCUGCCUUCUCCUCGGAAGCUCAUCAGCAGGGGGAGCUGGAUCCGACGACUACCUAAUGGAAACCAGACUUCUGUGAACGCGGAGGAACAGGCUGAGAAAGGGCCGGCUUUCUCUGGAAUAGUUUAGAUUGUCGUUAUUUUUUCAUUGGAAUGCAGAUGACGUGCUAAAUAUAACAGUUAAAUGUCGUGUAA